This 253-nucleotide ribosomal RNA is filed under the name uncultured bacterium. RNAcentral describes it as "partial 16S ribosomal RNA". It matches the Rfam family "Bacterial small subunit ribosomal RNA", at positions 524 to 776 of the family's 1533-position model. The record is from RNAcentral.
UACGAAGGGGGCUAGCGUUGCUCGGAAUCACUGGGCGUAAAGGGCGCGUAGGCGGAUAGUUCAGUCGGGGGUGAAAGCCCGGGGCUCAACCUCGGAACUGCCUUCGAUACUGGCUAUCUUGAGUACGGGAGAGGUGUGUGGAACUCCGAGUGUAGAGGUGAAAUUCGUAGAUAUUCGCAAGAACACCAGUGGCGAAGGCGGCUCACUGGCCCGAUACUGACGCUGAGGCACGAAAGCGUGGGGAGCAAACAGG